CGCUGGCGGCAGGCCUAACACAUGCAAGUCGAGCGAACCCUUCGGGGUUAGCGGCGGACGGGUUAGUAACGCGUGGGAAUAUACCCUUUGGUACGGAAUAGCCUCGGGAAACUGAGAGUAAUACCGUAUGUGCCCCUUCGGGGGGAAAGAUUUAUCGCCAAAGGAUUAGCCCGCGGUUGGAUUAGAUAGUUGGUGGGGUAAUGGCCUACCAAGUCUACGAUCCAUAGCNGGUUUGAGAGGAUGAUCAGCAACACUGGGACUGAGACAGGCCCAGACUCCUACGGGAGGCAGCAUGGGGAAUCUUAGACAAUGGGCGCAAGCCUGAUCUAGCCAUGCCGCGUGGACGAUGAAGGCCUUAGGGUUGUAAAGUCCUUUCAGAUGGGAAGAUAAUGACGGUACCAUCAGAAGAAGCCCCGGCUAACUCCGUG
Molecule: ribosomal RNA, 428 nt
Filed under: uncultured bacterium
Lineage: Bacteria
Description: bacterial SSU rRNA
Rfam family: Bacterial small subunit ribosomal RNA
Source: RNAcentral